Molecule: long non-coding RNA, 1933 nt
Organism: Lolium perenne
Lineage: Eukaryota; Viridiplantae; Streptophyta; Magnoliopsida; Poales; Poaceae
Source: RefSeq, a predicted model, not a curated record
CCGCAGCCGACGCCCGCCGACGGACGCCCCGCAGCCGAAGCCGCCGCCCUCCCCCGUCGCGAGUCGCCGCCCCGUCGGCCCGUCGCGGGGACUCACGGUCCCGACCUCUCCGUCGCCGCCGCGACUCGCCGCCCGUCGGCCCGCCUGCCUUCAGGAAGAUAUGGCUGAUAUGAGCGGGGAUUGUAAAGAGUACCAUGAGAUCGUUAUCAAGACGUUUGUUAGCGAGGAAGACGGAUUCAAUUUCUACAAUAGUUAUGCUCUUGAGAAAGGAUUUAGCGUGCGGAGAAGCUACGUUGAGUGGGAUGAAGCCAACAAGGAGAUAAUUUUGAGGAAAUUUUUAUGUAGUCGUGAAGGUUAUCGUGAAGAGAAGCACAUGAAGAGGAAGAGAGGAGAUAUGAAGAGGAGGCCACGGAAUAUCACUCGUGUUGGGUGUAAAGCCAAAUUGGUCCAUUUUUUUGUUUAGAGGUCUGCUUCCAUUUUAAAACGUCCAUCCUAACUGCAGUAUCUGAGACCUGAUUUGAAACUGAAACCUAGACAGGCCAAAGCUGAGCGGCAGAAUAUUGUUCUGGUUGCUCUGAGUUAGUAAGCUAAUCCCUAAUCAUAUAUUGUGGAUGGACCAAUGUCUUCGAAAAAAGGUGACGACUGCUGAAAGUGAUUGGGACAUUUUUCAUUUAUGUGUCCAACUGUCCCUCGACACAAUUUUCGUUCUCCGAAUCUGAAUUUGAAUACUCAGAUACUAGCACUACGUGGAGCACUUCUUUUUUCGUGUUUGAGCAUAGAUUAAUGGCCAUGUCGGCAAUUGUGACUCUAUUUUCCUUGGAAAAUGAAGUUGCAGGAAACCAAAUCCACUUUCAGCAUCUAGGCUUGUGGGGAACACUCAUUCUGCUUGUGUAAAACUCCCUAAUUACUUCAAUUUGUCUUCGUCUUGGAAGCAUAUACUUUGCUAGGAAACUUGCAUUUAUUUCAUAUCUGAGAACUUAAUGAACUGCAUAAUCUGAAGAUGCACUACAUAUUGCCAUUUAUCAUGGAUUGUGUAUGUGUAUCUGACAAAUCGUAAAUUAAUACUUUGCGCAGUCUGCUUCAACGCCAAUUUUAUUUGACUGAAUUGACGUGUCCCUAUGUCUGCAGUAAUAUUAUCUGAACUCAAUCAUCUUGUAGUGGUUUCUCAGGUGUACUAUGUUGAUUGAAUUUCACAUGGCCCGUAAAUAAUUCCUCUUGAUCUGUGUUAUGCUACCUACAUUUAACUGAAGUGAGAACUAAAAAAGGAGAUAUGUGAGAACUGUUGAUUUGUAUUUUACCCAUUGAUCCUUACUUGCUAGUAUCACUGCAUACAUGAGGGUAACUGAUGCAGUAUUGUGUUAAUUAUACUUGCCAUUUGCAACUUAGUACAUUCUAUUACUUCCACUUUUGAUAUACUUGUGAUUUAUGAAUUUGCUCAAAUGUACUUUCCUUUGUGUCGCAGGCCUUUGAUGAGGCUAUAUCAGAGCUGGACAGCCUGGGUGAAGAAUCCUACAAGGACAGCACUUUGAUCAUGCAGCUUCUGCGUGACAACUUGACUCUAUGGACAUCCGACACCAAUGAAGAUGGUGGUGAUGAGAUCAAGGAAGCCCCAGCUCCGAAAGAAUCUGGAGAAGGACAGUAAGCUGAAUCCAGACACUUGUCUGAUGCGCCAGCUGUUCUUGGGGUGUAACAGAAACCGAUGGUCUUGGAUUUCGAUAGCAAUCUUCUAGUACGCGUACUGUUGUGGUCGCUACUUUGACACUGUUUAAUUAAGCACUUUAGAGGUUUCUGGUGUUGAUAAAUGCUUGCUGGAUUAUCGUUUUCUUGUUCAAUCCGGCCACAAGCAAAAACCUGCUCUUUUGCACCAUUAGAAUGUUUGCUGUAUCAACCAUGUCUGACAAGACUUGCUGCAUCUAGUACUAUUUUGCUGAAA